UAACUACGUGCCAGCAGCCGCGGUAAUACGUAGGGUGCGAGCGUUAUUCGGAAUUACUGGGCGUAAAGCGUGCGCAGGCGGUUUCGUAAGACAGACGUGAAAUCCCCGGGCUCAACCUGGGAACUGCGUUUGUGACUGCGAGGCUAGAGUACGGCAGAGGGGGGUAGAAUUCCACGUGUAGCAGUGAAAUGCGUAGAGAUGUGGAGGAAUACCGAUGGCGAAGGCAGCCCCCUGGGUUAGUACUGACGCUCAUGCACGAAAGCGUGGGGAGCAAACAGGAUUAGAUACCCUGGUAGUCCACGCCCUAAACGAUGUCAACUAGGUGUUGGAAGGGUUAAACCUUUUAGUACCGCAGCUAACGCGUGAAGUUGACCGCCUGGGGAGUACGGCCGCAAGGUUAAAACUCAAAGGAAUUGACGGGGACCCGCACAAGCGGUGGAUGAUGUGGAUUAAUUCGAUGCAACGCGAAAAACCUUACCUACCCUUGACAUGCCAGGAACUUUCCAGAGAUGGAUUGGUGCCCGAAAGGGAGCCUGGACACAGGUGCUGCAUGGCUGUCGUCAGCUCGUGUCGUGAGAUGUUGGGUUAAGUCCCGCAACGAGCGCAACCCUUGUCAUUAAUUGCCAUCAUUCAGUUGGGCACUUUAAUGAGACUGCCGGUGACAAACCGGAGGAAGGUGGGGAUGACGUCAAGUCCUCAUGGCCCUUAUGGGUAGGGCUUCACACGUCAUACAAUGGUCGGUACAGAGGGUUGCCAAGCCGCGAGGUGGAGCCAAUCCCAGAAAGCCGAUCGUAGUCCGGAUCGCAGUCUGCAACUCGACUGCGUGAAGUCGGAAUCGCUAGUAAUCGCGGAUCAGCAUGUCGCGGUGAAUACGUUCCCGGGUCUUGUACACACCGCCCGUCACACCAUGGGAGUGGGUUCUACCAGAAGUAGUUAGCCUAACCGUAAGGAGGGCGAUUACCACGGUAGGAUUCAUGACUGGGGUGAAGUCGUAACAAGGUAGCCG
This 1006-nucleotide ribosomal RNA is filed under the name uncultured Azospira sp. RNAcentral describes it as "bacterial SSU rRNA". It matches the Rfam family "Bacterial small subunit ribosomal RNA", at positions 498 to 1502 of the family's 1533-position model. The record is from RNAcentral. Lineage: Bacteria; Pseudomonadati; Pseudomonadota; Betaproteobacteria; Rhodocyclales; Rhodocyclaceae.